RNAcentral lists this ribosomal RNA (509 nucleotides) under uncultured bacterium. RNAcentral's name for it is "bacterial SSU rRNA". It matches the Rfam family "Bacterial small subunit ribosomal RNA", at positions 28 to 532 of the family's 1533-position model. The record is from RNAcentral.
GACGAACGCUGGCGGCGUGCCUAACACAUGCAAGUCGAGCGGAGUCGAUCGACGGAAGCCUUCGGGCGGAAGAUGGUUGACUUAGCGGCGGAUGGGUGAGUAACGCGUGGGCAACCUGCCUCGAAGACCGGGAUAACAGCCCGAAAGGGCUGCUAAUACCGGAUGUGGUCAAGGAUCCGCAUGGAUUUUUGAUUAAAGGGGAAACCCGUUUCGAGAUGGGCCCGCGUCCUAUCAGCUAGUUGGUGAGGUAAAAGCUCACCAAGGCGACGACGGGUAGCCGGCCUGAGAGGGUGACCGGCCACACUGGAACUGAGACACGGUCCAGACUCCUACGGGGGGCAGCAGUGGGGAAUCUUCCACAAUGGGCGAAAGCCUGAUGGAGCGACGCCGCGUGAGCGAAGAAGGCCUUCGGGUUGUAAGCUCUGUCUGGAGGGACGAAGGAAGUGACGGUACCUCCGGAGGAAGCCACGGCUAACUACGUGCCAGCAGCCGCGGAAAAGUACUACUAU